Molecule: ribosomal RNA, 301 nt
Filed under: uncultured bacterium
Lineage: Bacteria
Description: partial 16S ribosomal RNA
Rfam family: Bacterial small subunit ribosomal RNA
Source: RNAcentral
CAGCAGCCGCGGGAAUACGAAGGGUGCAAGCGUUACUCGGAAUUACUGGGCGUAAAGCGUGCGUAGGUGGUGGUUUAAGUCCGUUGUGAAAGCCCUGGGCUCAACCUGGGAAUUGCAGUGGAUACUGGGUCACUAGAGUGUGGUAGAGGAUAGUGGAAUUUCCGGUGUAGCAGUGAAAUGCGUAGAGAUCGGAAGGAACAUCUGUGGCGAAGGCGACUAUCUGGGCCAACACUGACACUGAGGCACGAAAGCGUGGGGAGCAAACAGGAUUAGAUACCCCAGUAGUCCCUGUCUCUUAUAA